GAUGAAAAUCAGUAGCCUUGUUCCUUGAAAACUAGAUAAUCGUAAUAGAAGAAGUAACCAAGUAAGAACCGAGUAAUCGCUCAUUUAUGGUUUUAAACCUUUUAGGNUAGGAUCCUUACCUGAAUUCAUAGGGUAAGGAAGGCAGACCCGGGGAACUGAAACAUCUAAGUACCCGGAGGAAGAGAAAGCAAACGCGAUUCCCCAAGUAGCGGCGAGCGAAACGGGAACAGCCCAAACCGAAAGGCUUGCCUUUCGGGGUUGUAGGACACUCAACAUGGAGUUACAAAGGAACGGAGUAGACGAAGCGAUCUGGAAAGGUCCGCAAGAGAA
RNAcentral lists this ribosomal RNA (330 nucleotides) under Neobacillus paridis. Its description in RNAcentral is "partial 23S ribosomal RNA". It matches the Rfam family "Bacterial large subunit ribosomal RNA", at positions 1 to 362 of the family's 2925-position model. Lineage: Bacteria; Bacillati; Bacillota; Bacilli; Caryophanales; Bacillaceae. The record is from RNAcentral.